Molecule: ribosomal RNA, 253 nt
Filed under: uncultured bacterium
Lineage: Bacteria
Description: partial 16S ribosomal RNA
Rfam family: Bacterial small subunit ribosomal RNA
Source: RNAcentral
UACGUAGGAGGCAAGCGUUGUCCGGAAUUACUGGGCGUAAAGCGCGUGUAGGUGGUGGGACAAGUCUGCUGUGAAAGCGCCUGGCUUAACCGGGCGAGGUCGGCGGAAACUGUCCGACUCGAGGACGGUAGAGGGGGGUGGAAUUCCCGGUGUAGUGGUGAAAUGCGUAGAGAUCGGGAGGAACACCUGUGGCGAAGGCGGCCCCCUGGGACGGCCCUGACACUGAGACGCGAAGGCGUGGGGAGCGAACGGG